RNAcentral lists this small RNA (739 nucleotides) under Pongo abelii (Sumatran orangutan). RNAcentral describes it as "processed transcript". The record is from RNAcentral. Lineage: Eukaryota; Metazoa; Chordata; Mammalia; Primates; Hominidae.
GCCGCAGCAUCGGCAUCGCAGACGCGCUCCGGCGGCGGGUCCGAGGCCGGCGUGCGCGGAGGCUGGGCGGGCAGCCCGAGCGGUGGCCGCAGCGCAGGACACUUGAAAUAUACAGAAAAGAACAAAAGAAAUUAAGAAUCGCUAGUGAUCUGAUCACCAAGAGGGAAACACGUUCAGCACGCCCCAGCCUCCCUGGUUUGCUACACCGCACUCCUAAAAGGCUCCUCCCCCAGUUCCCAGCUGCCAGCCCCCUGCUGAGCAUCAGGAGGACAAUCAGCGCUUCAAGGUGGCGGGGUCCCCUGCCCUGCAGCCAGUGAAGAGCUUCCCUACCCAGGCGCUCAGCAUCCCAGCGAUGGGCAGUCGUGUACUGGGCAGCUGCUCACGGCCAGUGCUCCUUUGGGCCGGGCUCUGGGCUGCCCAUGGAAGAGCCAGUGACAAACUGGACCAGCAUCGUCCCUGUCUUCGUGGGGUGUCACUUGUUUUCUUUUUUCUUGAUGAUUAUCUAAGGGAAAAGGGAGGCAAAGAGUGAGGAAGGGCCUGGCCUGAGGGCUCCUACAGUGAGCAGGGUGCCCAGGUUGUGCCCCCAAUCGGCCUCUCCCAGGCCCGAGCCCUUUCCACCACUGGACCUACAGCUGGCGCCUUCCUUGGCAUGCACCUGGCCAGGACUGGCAGGUGAGGGUCGAGGAGACAGGCCUGUGUGCCCUACCUUGAUCACCAAGGUCCCUUUCAAAGCUCGAAA